Long non-coding RNA from Melanotaenia boesemani (Boeseman's rainbowfish), 99 nucleotides. RefSeq lists it as uncharacterized. The record is from RefSeq and is a predicted model, not a curated record. The transcript has 3 exons. NCBI's taxonomy places the organism in Eukaryota, Metazoa, Chordata, Actinopteri, Atheriniformes, Melanotaeniidae.
UUUACAGAGAAUCCUGCAGCUGUUUAUAAAAGCAAGUUGGAGGAAAGCUCUUCAUUUCCUACCUGACAUCAUGAAAAAACAUUCCACGGUAGCAGAGGC